This 445-nucleotide ribosomal RNA is filed under the name Vibrio parahaemolyticus. RNAcentral's name for it is "bacterial SSU rRNA". It matches the Rfam family "Bacterial small subunit ribosomal RNA", at positions 87 to 528 of the family's 1533-position model. Lineage: Bacteria; Pseudomonadati; Pseudomonadota; Gammaproteobacteria; Vibrionales; Vibrionaceae. The record is from RNAcentral.
GGCGUCGAGCGGCGGACGGGUGAGUAAUGCCUAGGAAAUUGCCCUGAUGUGGGGGAUAACCAUUGGAAACGAUGGCUAAUACCGCAUGAUGCCUACGGGCCAAAGAGGGGGACCUUCGGGCCUCUCGCGUCAGGAUAUGCCUAGGUGGGAUUAGCUAGUUGGUGAGGUAAGGGCUCACCAAGGCGACGAUCCCUAGCUGGUCUGAGAGGAUGAUCAGCCACACUGGAACUGAGACACGGUCCAGACUCCUACGGGAGGCAGCAGUGGGGAAUAUUGCACAAUGGGCGCAAGCCUGAUGCAGCCAUGCCGCGUGUGUGAAGAAGGCCUUCGGGUUGUAAAGCACUUUCAGUCGUGAGGAAGGCGGUGUAGUUAAUAGCUGCAUCGUUUGACGUUAGCGACAGAAGAAGCACCGGCUAACUCCGUGCCAGCAGCCGCGGUAAUACGG